RNAcentral lists this ribosomal RNA (256 nucleotides) under Acasta radenta. RNAcentral describes it as "partial small subunit ribosomal RNA". The record is from RNAcentral. Lineage: Eukaryota; Metazoa; Arthropoda; Thecostraca; Balanomorpha; Balanidae.
UUUAGAGGAACCUGCCCUGUAAACGAUGAGCCACGAAUUACUUUACUCUUUCUUGAAAUUCAGUUUGUAUACCGCUGUUGUCAGUUAGUUUCUUUAGAAAACUUUCGUAAAUGAGAAAAUCAAUGACUUCAAGUAAAGGUGCAGCUUAUGAGAGAGAUAGAGGUGGGUUACAUUUAAUAGAAUAAUAUGGAUAAAAUUUUGAAAAAAUUUUUGAAGGUGGAUUUAAUUGUAAAAUUUAAUGAGAUUUGAUUUGAGC